UACAGAGGUGGCAAACGUUGUCCGGAUUUAUUGGGUGUAAAGGGCAUGUAGGUGGUUUUGUAAGUCAAAGGUGAAAUGGCCCGGCUCAACCAGGUCCUUGCCUUUGAAACUGCAGAGCUUGAGUACGGAAGAGGAAAGCGGAAUUCCCAGUGUAGCGGUGAAAUGCGUAGAUAUUGGGAGGAACACCGGUGGCGAAGGCGGCCAUCUGGACCGGUUCUGACGCUGAGGCGCGAAAGCGUGGGGAGCAAACAGG
RNAcentral lists this ribosomal RNA (253 nucleotides) under uncultured prokaryote. RNAcentral describes it as "partial 16S ribosomal RNA". It matches the Rfam family "Bacterial small subunit ribosomal RNA", at positions 524 to 776 of the family's 1533-position model. The record is from RNAcentral.